UUUUUAAAAUGCUGGCAACCAUUCUAUUUGUUUGUUUACAUCAAUGUAUAAACUUUUUAUUUAUCUUAGUUGAGAGAUAUACAUAAAUAAGUAAAAGCGUAUUACACGCCUAAAACCAAUUAAUUUUUAUUUAUUUACAUUAGUUAAAGUAGGCACAUAUUUUUAUCAAGAUAUGAAUUUUUCUACAGAUAGAAUAAAGAAUUUUUUAUUUCUGCCAAAAAAUCAUGAAUAUGAUGAUGAACUGUAUGGUCCGUUAUUAAAGUUAGUUCCAUUUGGCAAAACAGUCCUAGUUAUUACAAGGCCGACGUCAUCGCCUGAACUGUUACCAUUAAUGGAACAAGCAGGAGUGCAGGUGUACAACAAUAAGCAAAGCCUGCGCCGGUUCAUUUUUAUAUGUAGUGAUAAUAUCAUUGGAGUUAUUAAAAUAUUGUUUGAUAUACACAGGUGGGCGGUCAAACCUCAUAUAAUUGUAUUGGAUCUAAAUACAUUUAGUUUAAUGGAAAAUGAAAAUACACACAUUCCAAAUGAAAUGUGUAAAGAUUUGUCAAGCGGGACUCCAUUAAAACUUGUUAUGCUAUGUAUUGCUACAUUAUUUAAUAAGAUGAAUGUAUUAAACAACAUGCACUCGAACGCUGUAGAAGGCGACAAAGAAUCCUCGAAAAUAUUUAGCGUUGUAGUGUUACCAAAGUCUAGUAGACUACUAACUGAAGAAGACAUUGAGCUUGUCAUCAAUAUGUUCUAUUGUAACAAUGCAUACGAAAAUUUUACUAACAUUUUCGAGUUGAUCUAUUUAACAGUUUCUCCUGAUAAAGUUUUAGAAUAAAAAUAACAAUUAAAUUUGCUGAGUAGAAAAAUAGUUUGGCUUAAAGUACACUUUAGGAUCCUAAUAACAUUGUUGUUUAGUAGAAUAGCAAAAUUAUGUUUUCCGAUCCAAUCCAAGUUGCGAUACUGCAGAUGCUCGCAGAGUUUUGCACGGUCUAAAAUUGAACAUUGUUUGACACUACUACGCCAUUCAGAUAACCAGAGUUCCUCGAAUCACCGUUGCCGUCACCUGUAACAAGUGAUUCCGAAAUUGGCCCAGUAGCAGCCAUUUUGUCUUUAUAAUUAUUUUUAUAUACUUAAAUACAGAUUUAAUUUGGCCUGAAAGAGAGAAAUGCUUUUGAUUUUUCUUGAUUCCCAAUUCGGCUCAAGACAAGCCUAACCACGAGUAUAAACCAAAGCGAAAAAUAAUGAAGUCAUGUGAUUUUUACAUCCAUAUUUAUUUGCCAUAAUAUAUUUAUGUACACAGUUUACGUAAUUAUCAUUUCAUAGCAAUAUUCGGCAACUAGAAUCCAAACCGUUCUAAAAAUAAAAAGUUACAAACUCACUUUUCCCUUUUCUAACCAAAGAACAAAAUCAGCCAUAUAUCUGAAUUGUCGCUUCAAUAAUCAGUGUAUAUAAUUAAGCCGCUAAUGAUUGUUAUUAUUCCGCCAAUCGAGCUGAUAUUAUGUAUUCUCGUCACAACAACCAGAUAGUCGAAUAUGUGCAUAUGGGUCGUUUGCGAUAUAUUUUCAUGCAGUUAACAUAACCCUCUGUUGAAGUUUUUCGUUUUUAGAUAAUUUUGUAUAGCUUUUAGUUUCGAAAUAUAAGCGUGCAUUUAAAAAACUGCAUUUUUAAAAUUUCGACUUGCUUUGCAAGCGCUCACCGAAGACUGCAUACAGCUCUAACGUUAAAUAAAUUAUGUGUUAACCUAAUGAUAUUCCAUAGGAUAUAUGUAUGUGUGUAUGUGAAUUAAAUCGAAUUUGUAGCAAUGUGAAUGCACUUGAAUGAAGUGGCUAACUAAUUAGAAAUAAAAAUUACACUGCAAAUCAGUACGCCAAUUUACCAUGUGUAAAGAAAUUAAAUAAAAUAAUUAAAUAAAAAUAAAUUGACCCUGUAACAACACCAGAAACGUAAACUGUUUUGAUGAGCUAAAAUAUAAAAUUUUUAGGUCCUGUUUUCGAAGUUGCCGGUUUAAUGUGUACACUACACUUGCCAUGUUAAAAGUCUGUUUAACAUUAGAUUAUCAUCGUGGACUUUUCUUACCACAAGGAUGUAUUCUUACUAUUCAAUAUUUCAAAGCAGCAGCAACAAAUUUCUGUUUGAUGAUGUUUCUCUUUUUUUAAUAUUAAUGUUUAAAUUUAUAAUGAUUUAUUAUAUAGCAUGAUGUGUCGUGAUUAUUUAAUAUUUUCUGUAUACUUUGUAUUUGCAUUUAACUAUGUAUGUAUGUAUAUAUAUAUUUUAUAUACAUAUAUAAAUUAAAAAUUUUGAUAUUUCAUCCUUGCAUUAGCAAUUCAUUAAAAAGAUCUUUUAUUUUUUUUUCGGUGUGUGAGUGUGUGUGUUUUGUUUUUAUGCAUGUGAUAUAGAUUUUGAAAUUAAAAAUAUCAAAUUUCUGUUCAAUGAAUGUUUCAUUUUUUUGUUGUUGUUUGGAACAAAAGAAAACUUAUCUAUUAGUUACAAGAAAAAUUAUCAACAUUAUUUUAGGCAUCUACAUACAUAUGUAAGUAUAUCGCAUACAUAAUAUUAUUCAACGAAAAGCCAAAAGAUCAACUCAAACCAUUUGAAUAAUUCUAUUUCAAUUAUAUGUGUAUUUUUUAAUUCACUUCGGUAAAUGUGAUACAUUUAAACCUACUUUUAUUUAUUUAUUACUAGUUUUGAUUGACAAAACCGUAAAUUUUAUAUUAAGAUAAAAACUAUUUUUUAGCACUAAAUCUAGUGGUGAAAGAACUUAUUUAUAAUUUUGUCACGACUCCAAAAAAUUUUAACUUUGACUCUUCUUCGUACGUUAUUUGUCCGAAAAGUGCAUCAUCUACUAUAUAUAAUAUUAUAUAUUUAUUCAAUAUUGUUUUGCUACUAUUCAAUUAUCAAAAAUACAAUUCAUUUUU
Bactrocera oleae (olive fruit fly) is the source of this 2903-nucleotide non-coding RNA. The record is from RefSeq and is a predicted model, not a curated record. Lineage: Eukaryota; Metazoa; Arthropoda; Insecta; Diptera; Tephritidae.